Molecule: long non-coding RNA, 2749 nt
Organism: Choloepus didactylus (southern two-toed sloth)
Lineage: Eukaryota; Metazoa; Chordata; Mammalia; Pilosa; Megalonychidae
Exons: 2
Source: RefSeq, a predicted model, not a curated record
CCUUCCCGGGACCGGGACCCCCCACCGCGCCCCGGGCGCCCCACUGCACCCGAAGAUUCCGCUCUGCCUCCCGCGUGCUAGUUCGCCCGAGCGUUGACUUUUCGGGUGCCCCCUUCCCGGCCUCCGAGAGACUUUCUGCAGCUCCCCAGCCCCCCGCACCCAGAUGUGGCUACUUUGGUCGGAACCAGGGUGGGGGCAGCAGAGGGGGGCGCGGUAUAAAGAGCCCGAGGCGGCGCGGGCGGGGACCUGGGACGUGGCGCUCCGGCUCUGUCCACUCCAACUCCAGUCACGUCUCUAAAGUGCCAUCUCAGACGACAGGAACAGGGAUGGGACCAGAGAGAACGUCACUUAGAAGAGAUCAAGCUGCCUCUGAGGAUCAAGGGAAACCUGCAUAUCUGUGAUGUUUAAGACAUGAUAGGAUUGCAUUAGAAUUAUGGCCUCUUGACAUUUAAAUCUUAACUGGGUUUUCCUACAAAUGAGCCAAGAGACACACUAUAAUCAUUCUCCAUGGGGGUUCCCUUUUUACCCAUGAUUUCCCUCUGAGAUUUGAGGCAUUUUAGAACUGAAAAAAUGGUGAGAUCAUCUGAUCAACCCCAUCAAUUUAUUCUUUUAACAUAGCUGUCUUACUUCCUAGGGCUACUGUAACAAAGUACCCACAAACUAGGGGGCUUAAAGCAAGAGAAAUGUACCAUCUCCCAGUUCUGGAGGUUCAGAAUCCGAAAUCCAGGUGUCAGCAAGGCCACGCUCUCUCCUAAGGCUGUGGGGAAAAAUGUGAUCUGCCUCUCGCCUGGCAUCUGGCAGUGGCCAACAGUGCCUGAUAUCCCUUGGCUUGUGGCAGCGUAACUCCAAUCUGUGCCUCCAUCCUCAUAUGACAUCUCCCUAUCUCCUGUGGGUCCAAAGUGUCCUCUUCUUAUAGAGGUACCAGUCAUAUUGGAUUAGGCCCCCUCCUAAUGUAGUUUGGCCUCUUUAAUCAUACAUCUCCAAGGCCGUUACCUCCACAUAUAGCCCAUUCAUGGGACCACAGGUUAGGACUCAAGCAUGUCUUUUUGGGGUAACGGUUCAGCCCAUAACAGUGGCCAAAGCUGUGAAGUCAUCUGUCUCACCACAAUUGGCUAGCUCAUGUAUUUUGAGUGAUUGAAAGACCCAUGAUUAUGGCUACAGGUGAUACUGUGAAGUUCACCAAAGUUUCUGCAAAUGAAGGCUCUCAAGUUUUGAGAGUUCAGGGAACUAUCAACCCCUACUCAAGUCCCUUGAGUUUCACCAAACCUCUUUAGAAUUACUUACACCGUCUUUGGAGUGGCAGCUCAGUCCCUCGCCAGCAUUCAGCAGGCCAUUUUGUUUCAAAAAGAGCAGCUCAGAAAUGAAGAGCAGAAAGAAAAUAGUUCUUUCAAAUAUGGGAGUGAGCGUAAAUGGGCAUUGUGCAGAGUACAGAUUUCUGGCCCUCAACCUGCCAGGCACCUGCCCGCCCACCCCCUGCCAGCCUGGGCCCCAGAGACCCCAUUGCAUUCCCCCUCUCUGACCAGCCAGAGUCUGAGUUUUGACCCAGGGCCAUGCACAGCCUUCUCUUACGGUUCCACCAUCUGGGGUGAGGCCUGUGCUUCGCCACUGCCAGUUUUCCGUGGGUUUAACACAAACACCUGACUCUCACCUGCCCGGAUUAACAGCCUUGUGCACCUCUGGAGUGCUCUUGAGCUCAUCCCACAGGUGAGAACCACAGCCUUCCACCUGUGGCCAUCCACCUCCAGGGGGUCCCAGCAGGAACUCAGUGACACAACAAGCAGAGCAUUUGUUCAACAGGAAGUGAUCACUUUCAGUGAUGCAGAAAGCAUGUCCUUUUUAGUAGUUAUUUUUUUUCUUGGGAGAGUUUAUUCAUCUAACUUUUAGUUAGGGCCUAUUAUUAAAUAACAUUGUAUUUUACUUCAGCUGGGUAUCCAGAAGACCAAUGUAUUCUAGAAAUCUGGAAGUAUUUGCCUAGUCUUUAUAGUUAAAUUUCUAGAUAUAUUUUUUUAGCAACCUAACUUCUUUAAAAUAAAAUCAGUAUGCCGGAAAUAGCCCGUCUUCACAUGAGAGUAAUAUGGGGAGAGGAAAAAAUGCUAAGUUUAAAAGAGUUUUAGAAUACCUAGAGGAAAUGCAGAUGGUUUGUGGCACAGAGAUAAAGCAUCCUUAUGGUUUACUGAAUGUUGUUUUCUGACAUUGAGCCUUGUAUACAGUUUGAGUAUCUAUAAGCAAAAGAUGGCUGUACUUUUUAAAACAGUAUGUUUGAUAGUUAUUAAUGUCCUGUGUUGCUCUAUCUUUGGAAAUAGAGCUUUGGGGAGAAAAUAAGUAUCUUUGGAAAUAUGUUUUCCAAAACAAUAGUCAUCCUAUAUGGAUCUAGAAGCACAAAUUACUCUGCUUUAGUUUAUUUCAUCAUUUACUGGGGAAAUUAACUUGUAAUGAGCUUGAGUUCAAUUAAAAGAAUAUCCAGCAAGUGAAAUUAAACCAAUAAGCAAAGUGUCUCCUGAAGCAAAUAAGUAGAAAGACGAGCUGUCACAGAUCAUGUGACCUCCCUGACAAGCCUCAUUUCUGUCCCUCCUCAUUCCCACUCUUACCACCUUAAUGUGGAAUGUCAGCUUCUGUCACCCACAAUCCCAAACCUCCAGCUUCCUGUCUUCCUGCCACCCCCAGGCCAUCGAUAGCACUAUGCAGUGAUCAUUCUGGAAGCAGCCCCACCCCACCUAUCCUUAAUAACACAGACCUGAAUUUACUUGAA